AGAAGGGAGCUUUCACACAAGUACCUAAAGACAAAUUUAUCACCAAUGAAAUAAGAAAGGGACUAUCACAAAAAGAACUGGAAUUUAAACAAGCUAAAUCAAUCCACUAUGGAAUAAGCAAAUGAUAUAUAGCUUCUAAUCAGAAUCUCUACCAUUUUCCUCAAGGUUUUUUACAUCCCUACCAGUAAUCUAAUUCCGCAGACAGAGUACUAACAGAGUAGAACUUUAAAGUAAAGAACAUAUAAACAAACAAGCACAAAACUUUAAAGCCUACGAAAUAUCUCCACGCAGAUAGAAAUACAUGACCAUGUAAAUGGUCCUCCAUUAAAAGAAAAAAACAGAGAAACCCAAAAGAGAGGCAGAGAGAUAAAGAGAGAAGAAACAGAGUGUAAGUAGAACAGAGAAGAAAAAUCUAGACUUUGAAAUCCCAAAAAAAAACCCUAGAAAAGCAGAAAUGAAUGAACUUUUUAACAUAGGGAGCAGAAGUGACGAGAGGGAGAGUGAUUGACUUACGAGAAGGCGAUUAUUGAGGAGGAAGCAAAAAAAAAAAAAAAGAUUCACUGUGAAGAAACCCUAGAUUCUGGUGCUCAGAGAGACAAGGGGGAGAGAGAAAAAGUGACCAUCUUUGGCUAAGUCAGUGGGAUUUUUAAAAUGUUUGGAUUUUUUUCCGGUAAUGGCAAAAAUAUUUCCACCAUUACGGUGCUUUUCUUUUUCCGCGAAGUUUAUGGAGUUUGACUUUUUAUUCAUUAUCGGUUUACCAAAUUUUUAUUACUUUCUUUCUUUAAAUAUCAUUUUUU
This is a long non-coding RNA of Arabidopsis thaliana (thale cress), 797 nucleotides long. RefSeq annotates it as other RNA. The transcript has a single exon. The record is from RefSeq. NCBI's taxonomy places the organism in Eukaryota, Viridiplantae, Streptophyta, Magnoliopsida, Brassicales, Brassicaceae.